Molecule: ribosomal RNA, 497 nt
Filed under: uncultured bacterium
Lineage: Bacteria
Description: partial 16S ribosomal RNA
Rfam family: Bacterial small subunit ribosomal RNA
Source: RNAcentral
GACGAACGCUGGCGGCGUGCCUAAUACAUGCAAGUUGAGCGCUGAAGGUUGGUACUUGUACCAACUGGAUGAGCAGCGAACGGGUGAGUAACGCGUGGGGAAUCUGCCUUUGAGCGGGGGACAACAUUUGGAAACGAAUGCUAAUACCGCAUAAAAACUUUAAACACAAGUUUUAAGUUUGAAAGAUGCAAUUGCAUCACUCAAAGAUGAUCCCGCGUUGUAUUAGCUAGUUGGUGAGGUAAAGGCUCACCAAGGCGAUGAUACAUAGCCGACCUGAGAGGGUGGUCGGCCACAUUGGGACUGAGACACGGCCCAAACUCCUACGGGAGGCAGCAGUAGGGAAUCUUCGGCAAUGGACGAAAGUCUGACCGAGCAACGCCGCGUGAGUGAAGAAUGUUUUCGGAUCGUAAAACUCUGUUGGUAGAGAAGAACGUUGGUGAGAGUGGAAAGCUCAUCAAGUGACGGUAACUACCCAGAAAGGGACGGCUAACUACGUG